GUACAGCGUUAUAUUUUUGGAUAGAUCAUAUUGACAAAAAAGUUUGCGACCUCGAUGUUGGAUUAGGAUACUUUUUUAAUGAAGAUAUUAAAAUAAGAAGUUUGUUCAACUUUUAAAUUCCUACAUGAUCUGAGUUUAGACCGAUGAGAAUCAGGUUGGAUUCUAUCUUAAUAAAAAACAAAUUUUAUUUAGUACGAAAGGAAUUUUAAAAUCUAAUUUUUAGUUUUAUUUAUUUAUUUUAUUUGCAUCAAUUUUUGUAAUU
This 262-nucleotide ribosomal RNA is filed under the name Amblyomma hebraeum (bont tick). RNAcentral describes it as "partial 16S ribosomal RNA". The stretch from base 1 to 167 matches the Rfam family "Bacterial large subunit ribosomal RNA", at positions 2473 to 2642 of the family's 2925-position model. Lineage: Eukaryota; Metazoa; Arthropoda; Arachnida; Ixodida; Ixodidae. The record is from RNAcentral.